RNAcentral lists this long non-coding RNA (906 nucleotides) under Nicotiana benthamiana. RNAcentral describes it as "long non-coding RNA (NBEN_LNC016558)". Lineage: Eukaryota; Viridiplantae; Streptophyta; Magnoliopsida; Solanales; Solanaceae. The record is from RNAcentral.
AAAUACUAAAUUUUGAGCACAAACUUGCGCACUAAAGGCUCACAUUUGAGCCCAACUCGCUCAAGCCCGUACCCACUCCCUAUUUUACCUGCGGCGAUGGCACCAUAGAGAGCGCGAGAGGUAGAGGGACAAACGCGGAAAGGGCUGGGCGAUUACUGUCUCUCAAGUGUGAGGGGAAGAGGGGUGGCUGGCGUUCAAAGAUGACACAGAAGGAGCAGAGGAUGAAGAAAGAAGAGAGAGAGGCACCAGCUAUGGCUAUUGGUGGCUGGCCGGCAGCUAAGAUGGAGGAAAAGGGAUAUUGCUUCUAUUCUUUUUCCCCAAAUGACAGAGAUGGGGAUCUGCCGUUUUCCAGCCUCUGUAAUUUAAGUCGCUAGGUCCUUCUUUUUGUAGGAAGUGGAAAUUAAGUUAGGUAAAAUAAGGAGUGGGUACGGGCUUGAGCGAGUUGCACGUUGCUAUUCCUUCUUUCCCUUCUUCCAUCUCUACUAUCUUUGAAUCGUCGGAGUUGCACCGUCGACGUUUAACGAACAGAAAAUAGGCAAUAUUCGUCGAAACUGGUUAGUUUCACCUUAAACCAAGAAAAGAGAGCUGAAAUCUUUUUCUGCCGAAUGAUAUCAGAGUCGAGGUGUUGAAGUCGCUAGAGGUCGUAGUGUGAGGUUUUCGGACAGAUUCGUUGUUCAAUCGAAUUUGUGUGCGAUUUCUCUGGCACUUGUGUUUCAAAAUUGCCGUACAAUUAAACUUCAAAUUCAUUGAGGUCGAUUAAUCAUUUCCUUCUACUUCUUAGUUGCUUAACAUCAUGCUCUUAUUAUUUUCUUAAUCUAUCAUUACUUUGUUUUUGAUGUCUUUUUGUUAUUGCUGUUUAGUUUAAUUUGUUUGGAUGGGUCCUGAUAGUUAAAGUAAGUUUUUGAU